This is a long non-coding RNA of Peromyscus californicus insignis, 27493 nucleotides long. RefSeq lists it as uncharacterized. Lineage: Eukaryota; Metazoa; Chordata; Mammalia; Rodentia; Cricetidae. The transcript is spliced from 6 exons. The record is from RefSeq and is a predicted model, not a curated record.
CAGGGCAAAGCCUCCCCUGUGGACUGAGAUCAACCUGGUAGACUCAGUCCAGGUAGGUCCAGUCCCCUCCUCCCAGGCCAAGCCAAGCGAUCCUGCAUAGGCCCCAGGUUUCAAACAACUGACUCAUGCAAUGAGCACAGGACCUGGUACCACUGCCUGGAUGCCUCCCAAACAGAUCGAGCCAAUCAACUGUCUCACCCAUUCAGAGAGCCUGAUCCAGUUGGUGACCCCUCAGCCAUUGGUUCAUAGUUCAUGUGUUUCCAUUUGUUUGGCUAUUUGUCCCUGUGCUUUAUCCAACCUCAGUCUCAACAAUUCUCGCUCAUUUAAACCCUCCUCAUUCUCACUAAUUGGACUCCCAGAGAUCCACCCGAGGCCUAGCCAUGGAUCUCUGCAUCCAGAUCCCUCAGUAGUUGGAUGGGGUUUCUAGCACGACAAUUAGGGUGUUUUAACCUACAUUUCUUAAUUAUCUUAAAUAGUUUGUAAUAAUAGCAUUCAAGGACUAGAAUUUUACAUUAUAUUUUUAAAUGAGUUGCAUAGGUACAAUACCUUAAACAAGAGUAAAAACAUGGCCAUGUGGUGGUGGCAUACACCUUUAAUCCCAAGACUUGGGAGACAGAGCCAGGUGGAUCUCUGUGAGUUCAAGGCCAGCCUGGUCUACAGAGCGAGAUCCAGGACAGGCACCAAAACUACACAGAGAAACCCUGUCUCAAAAACAAACAAACAAAAAGAGUGAAAAUAUAUAUACAUUAUGUUACAACAAAAAUAACAUUAAACAUAUCAAAAUACAAAAAUACCUUAAAUAAGAGUAGAAACAUAUAUACAGUAUGUUAUAACAAAAAUAACCUUAAACUUGUAUCAGUAUACAAAAAUCCAUACCAAUGUAAAAUAUUCAAGGUUAAUAGUUACUUUUUAGUUUAAAACUAGAUUCAAUAAUCUACCCUUUUUAUCCUAUCAUUCCUAUAUUCCCCCUUUUUUACCUUUUCAAAAAGAAAUCCGUGAAUCUAACCUCCUUUGCUUAUUUUUCCCCCUGACCAUGACCAAUAACAACUUCUAACUAACCUCCUAAAUAAUGACAAACAUCCAUAACCCAUUGAACAACCAAAAACCUCCUACCCCACCUCUUGUGAAUGUUGGCAUUGUGGUCAUAAAAUUACUUCCUACUGUCUGGGGGCAAUAUCAUCUUUAGGGGACCCUGGAGAAAUUAAGAUAAUGAUCAAGUCCUGGGAGAACUAACUGUAUCAUUUCUUGUCCAGUUUCUGUGUGACAGUAAAGUACAGGGCUUAUCUGAAGUCUUGGUAAGAGUAAUCUGUGAGACUAGACCAUCCUAGCUAGCUGCUAUGAAGAUGUUCUAGAUGCAGACUUCUGAGGAGACUGAAACAGAGACAUUCUGAGAGGCUGAAUCACCUGGGCUACUUGUCUUCAUUGGUGUCUGGUCUUUUUUUCUGAAAACACACAAACUUUUAAAGGUAACAUAUAAAUCUGCAUUAGCCCAAGUAUGAAAUUGUGGUAUGCGCAAAUUAGCUAAAGGACAUUCUCUUUUCUAUGUUUGAGCAGGUAAAAUACACCUACUAACUUUAUAAGUCUGUUGGGACUCUAUAACCAAACUGUAAUAUAAAUCUCCAUCCAUGUCAUGUGAAGGAUGCCAUGUAGUAAUAAGUCAUGUGGGCCCUGUAGCUAACAAGAUUUAUCAUGUCUCAUCCAGUCUCAGAGCUAUUACCAUGAGAGAUCAGCUUAUACAUCACCUGUCUUGAGGUUCUUCUUGGUUUCUCUCUUCAUGUCUGCAGCCAAGAUUUUCAAAAGGUCUCCCUGACCAAAUCUGGUCUUUAUUAAUUUUGAAGGAAUCCAUAGCUUUUUGUUUCCUGUUGAAACAAAGGCAUAACCUCUCCCCCAACACAACACAUUUUCUGACCUCCAUUCUAGAGCUACAGGGAUGAUUUCAACAUACACAUAUCAGUAAAUGUAAUACGUCACAUGAAUGGCUUAAGGACAUAAGUCACAUGAUCAUCCCAACAGAUGUAGAAAAGGCAUUUGCAAAAUUUUAACAUUACCUCAUGAUAAAGAUUCUGGGGGGGGGGAGGUACUGGAGGUGGGGCUAGAGGAUUGUUCAAAGUAUGAGUACUUACCACACAUGUAUGAGGAACAGAGUUCAGGUCUCCAUGGCACGUAUGUAUCAGGAAUACCAGCUCACCUGUCACCUCAGCGCUCAGCAGGCAGAGAAAGGAGGAAACUGGCACUGGCUGGUUCACCAGCCCAGCUAAAUUGCCAAGCUCCAGGUUCAGUGAGAAACUCUGCUCCAGCAAAUAAAGUGGAGAAAAAUUAAGGAAGAAAUUCAACAUUAAUCUCCGGCCUCCACAUACAUAUGCAUACACGUACAUACAUCUGUGCAUCCGUAAGCAUGUAACCACACACAUAUAUAUGCAUACACAUGCAACACACUUGUGUAUCCACAUGCAUGUAAACACACACAUACAUAUGUAUGUAAGAAAAAGCCUUAGGAAAUACACACAACAAUCGUUUCGGCAAAACUAUACUAAAUUGGGAAAAACUCAAAUUAUUUCCAUUAAAAGCAGGAACAAGAGAAGGUAUUGGCUUUUGCCACUCUUACUCAAGAUAGUACUGGAAAACAUACUACAUGACAAAAGAUGCAAGGAAGGGGAGACAGACUGGAAAAGAAGAGGGCAAAAUAUCCUUAUUGGUAGGUGAUUUGUUUCUAGGCAUAGCAGAGCCAACAGACUCAACCAGAGAACUCUUAAAACAGAUAAGCACUAUCGGCAAAAUGGCGAGAUACAAAAUUAACAUACAAAUCUCAGUAGCCUUUCUACAUACAAAUAACAAACAUUCUGAGGAAGAAUUUAAGGAAAUAGUCCCAUUCAUGACUGUUUACAACUGCCGAAAGAACAAACAAAAAAGGAAAUAAAUUUAAUCAAGGAAUUGAAAGACCUCUAUAAAACCUUACAGUACUCAAGAGAGAAACUGAAUACGACACCAGAAGAUGGAAAAUGCCCCCAUGCUCCAGGAGGAGAAGAAACAAUACUGAAAAUAAAAAGGCUGACUUACCAAAAGUAGUCUACAGAUUUCAAUGCAAUCCCCAUUAAAAAAAAAAAACCUUCUUAAACAUUAUAUAUGUGUGUAUAAUAUGCAUGAUGUUAGAUAAUAUAUGUUAAAACUUACUUGAACACAAAUAUCCCAAGCAAUCCUGAACAUAUCACAAUAACUGAUUUCAAGUUCUAUUACAGAGCCAUAGAAAAACCAGAAUGAUAUUAAAUACAAAACAGACACAUAGGUAAACAUAUUCAGAAGAUUCAAAUAUCAACUCCUGCAGCCACACAUCCUGAUUUCUAACAAUGCUGUUAAAAAUAUACACUGGAAAGAAGUCAGCUCUUUAACAAAUGGUGCUGUGAAAAGCAGGCGUUUACAUGUAGAAAAAAAAAAAACUUGAUCCUUACCUCUCACCCUGAAGAAAAGCCAACUCCUAUGGAUCCAGGAACUCAACAUAAGACUACAAAGUCUGAAACUUCUAGAGGAAAAAGUACAGCAUACACUACAAGCUACAGUACAGACAAGAACUUUCUGAAUAAGACUGUAGUUGCUCAGGAAAUAAGGUCAACAAUCAACAAACAGACAUUGUGAGGUAAAAAAGAAUACUUACAGCAGAAUACAAACUGAGUGAAGAGGUAGCCUGUAGAAUGGGAGAAAAUGCUUGCCAGCUAUAAAACUGACAAAGGUUAAUAACUAUCCUAUACAACAAACUCAAUUAACUGCCUAACCAGCAGAAAACAAACAGCUUUAUUUAAAAAAAUAAAAAAAGGACUGAGGAACUUAACAGAGAGUUCUCAAAAGAAGAAAUAACGAAUGAACAAUGAAUAUUUGUUGAGAGAGGCAAAUAAAAACUACUUUGAGAUUCCAUCUCAAGACAAUCAGAAUGGCUGCCCUCUACACAACAAAUAACAACAAACGCUGCCAGUGAGGUGGGGAAAGGAAAGACUUAAUUCAUAGUCAGUGGAAGUAAACUCUAAGGGUCUGUCUUGUUUGCUUUCUAUAGCUGAGACAAAACAUCAUGACCUAAUACAGCUUGGAGAGGAGAGGGUUUCUUUGGCUUACACAUCCUGAGCACAUACAUUACUGGUGGAAGCCAGAGCAGAAACUGGGAGGUGGAACUGAAGCAGGACCAUGGAGGAAUGGCGCUUACUGUGUCCUAACGACCUUCUCAGGCUUUUUUUCUUAUAUAACUCAGUGGCCACCUGCCACUGUCACCGGUUUGCUAGGCCUGUCCAUGUCAAUCAGAAAUCAAGAAAUGUUCAAUGACAUCUUCCAGAUUGAGGUUCCCUCUUGUCAGAUGACCCAAGUUGUGUCCGACUGACAAAAAAACGAACCAGCACAGGGGCUGAUCAAUACUUUAGGCUGCCAAGGUUUAUCAUUUAGAGACCACAUAUUCCCAAAGAAGAGAAAGUUAUUAUUAUAAUUGUCAAGAGGUAAAAUAAUAAUAAUAAUAAUAGUGAUUUUUCAGCUGUCUCCAGGCACCCAGUCAAAUUUAUUCACAAAACCUUUCACAAAAAAAGAGAGAAAACAAAAUAACUGAAGAAUUCUCAGUGUAUUGUCUCAGUAACAAUUAAUUUAGUUCACCAUACUUUUGUACCACUAACCAUUACCUCACCACCCACUCUCCUUUACCUAUUAAUUUCUAAUUGACCAUUAACUUCUACAUCAGUGGAAACUUGAGAAACCUGACACCUAACUGCACUUAUAUAACUCAUAAUGUUGACAUCAAGUACCUACCAUGCACCUACACCACUGUUAAACAUAACAAUCAAAUUCAUUCUGAGAUUCCUUGUAGCCAAAGCAAACACAGAAAGAUAUUAGUUCUUGUGAUGAAUAUGAUGCCCUUUGAAAUAUGUUGUAAUUAUUCCAACACUCUCUGAGAUAAGAAUCUAUAUCUUUUAUAUUUGAAAUGAAGAAAUAUCUUUGCAGAGUUAAACUGUUUAUCUUAACUCAAAACCUAAUGAGUAGGUUGGCUUGACAAUACACACCCAUAAUCUCAUUACUGGGAAGGCUAAGACAAGAGAAUCACAAGUUCCAAUCCAAUCUGGGCUUCAUGGGAGACCCUGUACUAACAAAACACCACAAUAAAACAACUAAUAAGUGUGAAAGCUUAUAUUCAACUCCAGUCUAAUAUUAAUGCCCACAUCAGGCCACUCAUCAUCCCACACACAAAUGGGAGCAGAGCUUUCUCCCACCUCUCUUAGGUCAUACCAACAUCCAUGUACAUGUGUUGAAACUUUUAGUUAAUGAAUGUGUUCCCUGUACAUGAAGAUUUAUCCUGGCAUGCAGCUCUGUAGGUAAUUGCUUACAUGCUAAAAGGGUCAUGAACAUACACAGGCUUUAGGACCCUAUAGACUUAGGUUAGCAUUAAGUCCCUAUAUGUAUCUAGUUCCCUCAACUAUGAAACAAGGGUAUGAUAAGGGAGCAAACAAACAAAACUUUUGUUUUACUUUGACUAUAAAUAAAACUCACAAUUGGUAUCAAAGUUUUCUAUGGGGUUAAUAGUUUAAUUGUCAUAUUUAAGGUGGCUUUCAAGCAGGUAAGUCUGAUAGAUGUAUAUGCCAUUUUAACAGAGUGAUAAAUAGUAAGACACAACUGUAACAGGAAUCUGAAAAAGUUCUUAUUAAUAAAAUCAAACCUGAGCCAGGUAUUGGGGUGUACGCUGGAAGAUCAGAGAGACAGAACAGGCCACAGCCACCUCACCUCACCAGUUCCUCAGCUGAUCCUGUUUCCUCAGACUGGAUGCCUCUGAGUCCUCAUCCAGAAUGAAUCUCAGCUAAACUGCUACUCACAGCCUGAAAGCUUAACCAGGCAAAUGCUGCUAGUUUCUGGUCUUCACACCUUAUAUAUCUUUCUGUCUUCUACCAUCACUCCCUGGGAUUAAAGGCUCACUUCUGGGAUUAAAGGUGUGAGUCACCAUGCUUCGUUGUAUCCUUGAACACAUGGAUUUCUGCCUCUGGAAUGCUAGGAUUAAAGGAGUGUGCUACCACUGCCUAACUUCUAUGUUUAAUAUUGUGGCUGUUCGGUCUCUGACUCCAGAUAAGUUUAUUAGGGUGCACAAUAUUUUGGGGAACACAAUACCACCACACACAACAAAUGGCCUUUGUAUUUUUAAGGGCAAUAACUUGUAGGAGGUUCCCGGGGGGUGGAGUAGGGCUGAAGAAAUGACUCAGCAGCUGAGAAUACUUGCUGUACUUCCAGAGCAUCCAAGAUCAGCUUCCAGACUCACAAUGACCUGUACCUCCAUCUCCAAGAGAUCCAGUUCCUUCUUCUGGACUCUGUAAGCCCCUGCACCAGCACACAUGUAGCUUUCACACAUGCACUCACCCAUGUGUGUGCUCACACACACACACACACACACACACACACACACACACAUACACGCACACACAAAUAAAAAUAAUAAAAACGAAUCUUUUAGAAAGUUUCAGUUUGAAGCUAAUCUAAUGAAAAAAAAAAAUAUGAGCAAGCUGUGUUAUACAAACCUCUAUCAAAGCUGACCUUCUCCUGCCAACAUAAUAGUUGCUUGUAUACUGUGUCCUGUGUCGGGUAGAGAAAAGAGAGUUUCUUGGCUCUCCAGAGGGAUGACAGAAUGUUCUUUUGGACUUCCUUUUAACUACACUUGGCACAAAGCAAUCACAAUGCUAAGGUGACACCAGCUUGAUCUCUUCAAUGCCAACACAACUGAUCAAGCGUUAGGACUAGAAGGUCCACGUGGGAGAGAUCUAACCAAGGGUGGGUGCUGAAUUAGCACUGCCAUCAUCAAAGUAAUCCCACCAGCUUUGACCCUGUUGGGAAACUACUAAGAAAGAAAGGGUAAAAACACAGUCACUAGAGGGAAAUUCAAGUUCUCCACAGGGUUUUCCAUUAUUCUUUUACCAAAGUAAAAUUUAACCUCUUAACCAGAUCAUAAUUCGCACUCUUCCUGACUAGUGCUAAGGAAAUGAGGCUGCACCCUUCUCAUUCUGAUUUUCCCUGAACAUUCCCAGCAGGCACAGCGUGCUUUCAUGGCCUGAUCCUCUCUCACCCUUUGGUCAUCUCAGCAAACCAGCCAGGUCCCAGCAACACAAUUCCUUUUCAAAGUUCCACUUCUCCUGGAAGCAUGAGUUCAAAGGAAAGCCAUGUGUCCAGCUUCCCAGGACAACGUUCACAGUUGCAAACCUUCAAAAUGGCCUGAUAGGGGAAAGUGGGCCUGCCAGGCGCUUCUGACUCCGGACUCCUGCCUUUGAAGUGUAGUUUGAAACAGUAGCAGCUCUCCACUUCACACUGGCUCUUUCUUGGGAGUCAAAACAGAGCGGUGUAGCAAAGAGAAGCCCCUUAGAUCACCGCCAAGGCACAACUGUGAGUAAGCACGCAAUGCAGUCCUCAGGCCCUGCUUAGAGCUCAUGCCAACCACUCUGUAAAGGGAAGACAGGAUCACAUGGCCACACCCAUGCACCACCAAAGAACCUGUGUUCACCAAACUCUGCCACAAAGAAAGUGAAAAACAGCUUUGUCUCAGGAUUCAGGUUUUGGUUUUAGCAUGUUUUGUUUUGUUUUGUUUUGUUGUAUUACCUUAGUUCCCCAGUAGUCUACAAGGUGAUCUUAAUUUCCCAAGGGGAAAAAUGUCAGUGAAUAACUGCAUCCUCUCCUGCCACCCAGUUACUAUGUUCUCCACAUCACCACCCCAAUCAUUUAGAUCUGCUUCCUUCCUAAGUCAUGUGUUUGAUAAAGAUUGUUUUCAUUGAAUAUGGCGUGCUGGAAUCAUUUCACCACCAGUCAAAUAAUGUUACCUUCAUUUUUGACAAUUCAUCUGUUUGUUGUGAUACUGAAUGUACUAGUUUCCACAGAUAUUUUAGAUUAAAGGAUGGAGGAGACAGAGGUAGGAAAAAGAAAUAUUAGUAGACUUCUGGUGAAAAGAACAAUGUUUGUCUGCCACAGAGCCACCUUGUACAUUUGCAUGGUAAGGGUGUUAAGAAACCUUUCAUGGAAGAAAUCUGUUUAGCUAGCACUUUCUUGAAUUUAUUAAAUAAAGAUACACCUUCUGGUUGAAUAAUAGCUGCCAAAAAGAGCCAACACCGCAGUCCAGUUAAUAACAGAGUUCUUAUGCAUAGGGCAAUAUCAUCAGAAUUUUGGAGGAAAUGUCCUGGAAAGAAACAAAACCUCUGAGAAGUCUUUGUGGCCUCGUGGCUAUGGGUAGGCCUAAUGAAGUCCUCUAGAAUUCCUGCCUUUCUUCUUUUUCUCUAUUUUUAAAGCAAGGUCUCACUGGAUACACACUGUGCUAACUACCUGGAAAGAUGCAGGCAAAGUCUAUUCAACCCAGAAAAAUAUACAUUUUUUUUUAAACUUGGGAGCACAGUGAACUAUGGUCCAGGAUGAUCAAAGACCAUCAAAGCCACCCUCAUCAAGUGGCUUCUGGGUCCUUUGUCUCAUGAGCUUGGAGAAUGACUUUUACAGAUAACAGGAGGGUAAGUUUUCUAAAGCAUUUAUUAUAGGUUUCUAGGUGAGAGGUAAGAGAAAGGACAUAAGCAGAGCUCCUGCAUUUCAGGAGCAAGUUCCAAAGAUGGAUUGCCACUGAGAGUACCUAGAGGUUAAAUAAGGGUUUAAAUAAUGUAGAGCGAUGAGCUAGUCAGUCCAAUUACCCCACCUACAGGGUAUUCAUGUGCCUCUCCAUCCCAGGCAUCUGGACGCGAAUUUCACUAAACCCUCACAUUUGGCUUUCAGAGUAUUGUGUUCCUUUAGGUUUCCUCUUAAAUGGAGAAGAAAGGUAACAAGAAGCCAGAGCACAAGCAAGUGCCCCUAAACAUCUCUGGUAUUUCUCUCCUCUGGCCUGGAUGGAAUUGCUAACAUUACCAAAGACAUUUCUUUCUGAUUGCUGGAUUCCAACCAAGGAUAAGAGACAGAUCCACUUACAUGUGGUGUCCCCACUCAAAACACUGCCUGACAGAUAUCAAUAGGGCCCUGAAGACAGACCAAGUACAAUUCCCCCCAAAGUCUAACUUAGCAAACCAAUUAGAGUAUUGGGCUUUCUUAUGGAGCACAGGUGAGGAGUUACUUACAGGAAUUUGAGGAGGUUGUCCUCAAAGCAGCUAUACAACUUUGAAGUUUUACUAUAUAUCAGGUGGAGGAUGAUUUCAGGGUAGCUGAAGCACUGGGUCCCAUUUCAGGUAACCUACUUCUUCCUAAGCACUCUAGCACUCCCCAGGAUCACUUGCAGCUUAGAGGAGGGAAAGAAGGAGUUAAAAUGGGGACACAAAUGGUACCCAGACUACUUCUCCCUCUUUUAAACAGCAUUUCCCCUUAGUUUUCUCUUGCAAGCAAAACAAACACAAGCACUUAUUUGUCUUUGCCCAUCAUAGAGCCAACAGAAUUCCCAUCAAGGGGAGGGAGUAACCCUCUUCCAGAGGAAACCCCAGAGUGCUCUCACAGCACUGGCCUCACCAUGCCAUUCUGCCUUGACGCGUCCUCUCAAAGUCCAUUCCUUGCCACUGCCUGCACAACUGAGACCCAUUUGCAUCAAAGAAAAGGACUUGGCUUUCGUCCUGGUUACUCAUAGCUUGAAAGAGUGCUUACUCCUUGGUUUAGUGCUUUUUUUUCUCGUACUCUGCUCACCUCCCAUCCCUGUCCUCUUGCCUCCAUCGAUGAGAUUUUGGCUUUCCCUCCGGCCGACAGACAACAUUUCUUCUCCACUCUUCUGUAGUUCUCCAGAGAAAUAUAGGGGAACAAAAAAACCCUUCCCCUUGCUUCCACGGGCACACCAGUUCCUCAUGUCUGCGUUCACGGGCACACAUGAGGAGAACACUGUCCCUACAAUGUGCACCUGUGGUAGAGGGCAGUGUCUGGUAUGUGCUUGGAACAAGACCUUAGUCCACUUCGGAAGAAGCAAUCACCAGAAAGCUCAAGUUGAGCACAUUGUGAAUUGUCAAGGCUUUAGACUCUCAAAUGGAUUCUCCUAGGCUGAAUUCAACAACAGUGAUUCAUGUCAGACAAGGGCUGAAUCGUAAUUUCAGUUGUGCAACACCUGACUGGUGGCAACUGGUGGACUCCGCAUGUAAGGUAACCAGUUAGAGCCACACCCUGUGUGAGGAAGAAGAUAAAACUACUGCACAGCACUACAUGAAACAAAGGCAGAUGCUGUAACAGACCACCUGGGCACAAGUUAUUAAUGAAAUUUCAGAUCAUGCCACUAGAGAGCUUCAGAAGAUGCCUAUCUAUGUGUUUUUAGAGGAAACCCAGUAUCUCAGUGGAGAAAUAGUUCGGCUCUCAGCUUGCUAAUGUGUGGAAAGACUGACAGAGAUAAAUGUAAAGAGCAUCUUUGUGAACACUGUGCUGGAUGGGAAUUUGGCAGGACUGACGGGACUUAGGAAAUGCGUCUAGGUUUGUCUUUACCAUAUAAGUGAGUUUAGAAAGUUGGGAAUGCAGGAAGAGCAUUGCAUGAAUACGUAAGAUUCCAAAAGAUCACUGCACACAGAGAUACUGAGAAAUGUCCAUGAACAUAAUUGUGACGAAUGAGGCCGAGAUUAAGGGUGAGCAGACAGAAACACAUGGCACACUAACAAAAAUUCAGAAAACAAUCAAUCACAAAAGCAGUGGUCCAAGCCUAAUCCCAAGGGCACACUCUUGGAUGAGCCGCUGAAAAUGUCCCUCUAACAGAAUUCAGUGACGUCCUGCUUGUCACAGUCAGCCUUCUGCUGACCAAGUUGACCCUAAUUUGUUUCCCCUCCAUUCCUAUGCCAACCCUUUAUGUCCUACCCCAUCCCUGAAGCCUCAUCCUCCUGGGCUGGGAAUAAGCCUGAGCUCUGAGUCCUCUCUCUUCUUUCUGGUACCAGAGCUGUGACUUUUUAGUCCCUUGCUUUUGUAUCAUAAAGGCUACCUGGAAAACAGGACCCCAAGAAAGACACAGGGAUCGCCCAGUGACGGAGAAAUGGAAGAGAUCUACAUGAACAGCCUGGACAUGAGUGGAGGUAAUGAAGGGCGAGGGUCGAGGGAAAGAGAGCUUGGGGGAGCGGGAGAUCCCAGCUGGAUCAACAACAGAGAGGGAGAACAAGGAAUAGGAGACCAUGGUAAAUGAAGACCACAUGAGAAUAGGAAGAAGCAAAGUGCUAGAGAGGCCCACAGAAAUCCACAAAGAUACCCCCACAACAGACUGCUGGCAAUGGUCGAGAGACAGCCCGAACUGACCUACUCUGGUGAUGGGAUGGCCAAACACCCUAAUUGUCAUGCUAGAAACCCCAUCCAAUGACUGAGGGAUCUGGAUGCAGAGAUCCAUGGCUAGGCCCCGGGUGGAGUUCUGGGAGUCCAAUUAGUGAGAAAGAGGAGGGUUUAUAUGAGCGAGAAUUGUUGAGACCAAGGUUGGAUAAAGCACAGGGACAAAUAGCCAAACGAAUGGAAACACAUGAACUAUGAACCAAUGGCUGAGGGGUCACCAACUGGAUCAGGCCCUCUGAAUGGGUGAGACAGUUGAUUGGCUUGAUCUGUUUGGGAGGCAUCCAGGCAGUGGGACCAGGUCCUGUGCUCAUUGCAUGAGUUGGCUGUUUGAAACCUGGGGCUUAUGCAAGGAUGCUUGGCUAGGCCUGGGAGGAAGGGACUGGACCUACCUGGACUGAGUCUACCAGGUUGAUCUCAGUCUGCGGGGGAGGCUUUGCCCUGGAGGAGAUGGGAAUGGGGGGUGGGCUGGGGGGAAGGUGAGGGGGGCAGGAGCGGGGAGAACAAGGGAAUCCGUGGCUGAUGUGUGGAACUGAAUUGUAUUGCAAAAUAAAAAUAAAAAAAAGAAUAGCUAUUACUUGAAAAUUGUAUUAUUGUAUAUAAUUUUGUUGAAAUAAAGGUGAUAAAACUUAAAAAAAAAAAAAAAGAGUGCUAGGCCCUGCCUUGGCUCGUGGCUUUCUGCUUAGUAUUAUUUUCUGAUUUUUAUUUUUAAAAUAAUACAUUGUCAUUGCUGAAAAUCUGAAAACUAUAGAGAAACACAAUGUGGAAAUAUCUAAAUCACUCCCAGAGAGCCAUAGUUUAUGCUAUCUCUGUAAAAAUUUUGUAUGAACUGAUUGAUAUAAAAAUGGAUUCAUGCUGUAGGUACUUGCUGUAUAAUAAACAUUUUCUUGUUCUUACUCCCCGUGUAUUACAGAGUUUAUAUUGAUGACUGUGGAUUCUAGCUUUUAUUUACAUCCUCGAUGUGCUUAGUAGGUCUCAUCAAUAGACGUAAAACUGAAAAUAUUUACAGGCCACAAACAUUGCCUUAGGUUUGCUCGGUAUCCUGCGUCACAGUUCUUCAGAAAAAAAAAGUCAGUGUCCUCUGCUUUAAGGAAACCAAGCACAUGAUUAGAAAGAAUUUUAUAAAAUUUGGAACAAUUGCUAGUUUUGUUUUAAAUACCUUUCUAAUGGCGUAAAUGUCUUAUCCAAAGUGGUGAAAUUAGUAGCAAGUGAGAAAUCAGAUUUCUGUCCCUCUGACCUAUCUCUUCUUCCAGUUGUCUAGAAAAGCACAGGGACACAAGAGUAGAUCCACACCAAUAUAAGAGCUCCCCUCACUAUACAAUGAUGAAACUGAGGUUCCAAGGAAGCAAAUUGCAUCUCUACGGCUUUCUUGCCUCAAGCAGGGGCAGGGAAAGAGUCUCAAACAAUAACUAACAGAGCCUUGGAGUCCUUUAUCUCACAGACUUGAAAAAUGAACUUCAUGGUCAAUGGGAAGGUGAGGGUUUUUUUUAUUUUUUGGUUUUUGUUUGUUUGUUUCGAGGUAAAAUACUUUAUUAUUUAAAAGGUUUUUUUUUUCAUCUUACAUACCAACCACAGUUCCCCCUCCGUCCCCCCUCCUCCUGCUCACCUCCCGCCUUCCCCCCACCACACACACCCACACCCAUCCACUCCUUAGGGAGGGUAAGGCCUCCCAUAGGGAGUCAACAAAGUCUGGCAUAUCAAGUUGAUGCAGGACCGAGCCCCGAGCCCCUAUAUCAGGGAGGGUGAGUUUGAGAAAAAAAGUGUAUAUGAGAACUUAAUAAAAGGAAGCAAGUUCCUGUACAGCAAGAGUUAGUUCUAGGAAAGGCUUGCCACCCAGGGUCUGACUAUAGAGACUAACAGGGUGUUACUGGGUGGAGGAAUUAGAGGGAGGGUAGUGAGCUGGUCAGUUUUCUCACUCACCAGGUGUUGAAGGUGUUGAUGUACCUUUCCCAUCCUAGCGUCUGGCAUUUCAGGCACUUUCUGAUGAAACAUAGCUUUUGGUUAGCUCUUCUCAUUAAAGCUGCUCUUUAAAUGGAGAAGAAGAAAAAGAAAACAGAACACAGACCAACAUUUCUAGACACUUCUGGUAUUUCUGGCCUCCAGCAAGGAAAAAGCUGCUAAUAGAACCAAGAGUAUUCUCAGCUUCUGGCCAACAGGGUACUGAUUUGCAAGGACAAGUGGCAGGAUUAUUGGGGUUUUUUUUAGGUCCCCACUCCUGUACUCAUCAAAGGGAAAGAGACGCUCAAGAAGAAAGCAAGAUGCAUCCAAGAAAAUGGGUGUCAGCUCCUCAAAGGGAGUUGCAAUUCAGUGUGCCAAGACCACUGUGCCAGUCUAUAUGUGUAGAUAGGCUGUGUGCUACUAUCUAAAGUCUCGAGAACAGAUACCUGUCCUGAGGACCAUCUUCCUGUCGAUAUGAUUGACAGGCCCAUUUGGGUUAGCAUUUAAGUGAGGACUAUAAUGUGUCUUUCCCCUUUACCAGCAAGUAUCCAUAGAUAGUGAUCUUAGGACCCUUGGGGCAACUUAAAAUCUCCAUCCAGAUCAAAGAUACAACUCAGAUCCUGUUGUUUUGUCUAAAAUUCAUGUAAAUGAAAUAAAGAAAAAUAAAAAGAAAUAAAUCUAUGACAGCUUGACAGGAGGUAGUGGCCUUGCUUUCAUGAGCAUCAAUGAAUCCCUCUUCCUUCCUUCCUUCCUUCCUUCCUUCCUUCCUUCCUUCCUUUCAUAAGGUAUUUUAAGUCUUCAGGAAAGGCAAUUAUGCCUCUCCCUGUUUCAUAUUCUAAGAAGGGGCACUUUCUUAUGCAUUCCAUUUCUUUAAAAUUAAUGUGUUAGCCAGAACACAAGAGGUAGUGUCUAAAAUUGAUCAUGAGAGGUAAUGAUUUUCAAGUCUCCUAAUUUCUAACUAGCUGUUUAACAUUUAGACCUAAAUGCCCUGUACAAAAAUCUUAUUUUUCUCUAGGUGGUGAUGGCGCACACCUUUAAUCCCAGCACUCGGGAGGCAGAGCCAGGUGGAUUCUGUGAGUUCAAGGCCAGCCUGGUCUACAGAGCAAGAUCCAGGACAGGAACCAAAACUACACAGAGAAACCCUGUCCCCAAGAAAGAAAAAUCUUAUUUUUCCACAAUGCUGGUUUUGUCAUGCCACAUCUGUUAACUCACUAAAAGACCAUCAGAAUAAGCAGUUUGUGAUGCUAAGUUUAUUAAAGUCACUGCAGAGGCACAUAUGCCAGGAGUAAAAGUCAAAAGGACUGACUCAGAGGAUGAAAUGGGCAGAAACUAUUGACAGGGUCUGUUGUUCUGAUCUCUGGCCUUCUUAUGUAGGGACCUGAUCAGAAACAGGUGUACAUGGGGCUAUAAAAAUGGCAAGGGAAGAUGGUUUUACUUGCAUACAGGAGGGAUUCUAAUUUCUCCCCACCCGUGUCCAUGGCUAUGUUACUGUAGCAAUGAAGACCAAUUAAGAAAAAUCUCUUUCAGGUCAAGAGAAUACAAUUUCAGGCCUAGGUGGAGAACUGACAAUCACCUGACUGAGAAUUAACCCCUAGGAAGGCAAAAUCAACUUAAGCCUUGCCAAAGAGUCAUCCUGGGCCAAACCCAACCCAAAUGCAGGUCAAACCUACAGGCCAUCAGUAUGCAUAACUUUUGCAUAACAUCAAGUCCUUGAUUCCCACUGUGGUUGGCGCUUUUGUUUCCAGGCUGGGAAAACAAGCUAUUGGCUUCUCCCUACGGGAUGUCUGCUGGGUGGAUAACCCUUGAACAGUGACAGAACUGGAGAGUCCCUGUUGGAACUCCACAGGGUAGGUGACUGCUUUGUCUCCUGUGACCUUAAUGCCUUAAUCCACUGGUCCUAACGCGGUUCCACUCCUUAAUAUGGGGCGUGGAUGAAGCACUCUAAGGAGGCCCUGACAUUCUCAUCAGCGUGGCGUCUUUUAAGCCUGUGGUUUUAGGAUGACCUCUUUCAGCAUGGUACCAUCAGACUCCUGUUCAGCUGGUUGCAGCAAGCUUCAGAUGACCUCCUCUUACCCUCUUGUCACCUCAGUGACAGAAGUGCCAAAGAUAAGGCAUGCAAACCAGAAACACAAGGGUCUAGAGCCAGCAAUGAGAAGAGUGGCCAAGCAAGUGACAGGGCCAUAAACUAACUCACUCUUUCAACUUAGACUUAAGUGAACAAACCUCUUCCAUUGGGCUUGAUCAGCCACCCGAUGACUCCACCCACGGCCACUGCUGCCUCCUUCAUCCACUAGUGGGCCAGUUUCACAGGCCCAUGCUCUGUCUUCAAUUUCUUAAUUCUCUCUUGAGCCUAUCUUUCCUCUAAGUGAAGUCUGCUGGGAAAACUGAAUAUGCACAUAAGCAGAAAAGUCAUGUGGACAAAAAGAGAAAACUCUGCAUUUUUGUACCUUUAAGAGGGGAGAGAAAUACUUUCUGUUAUAUAUGCAAGCUAGGGAGACCCAUUAGGUAAGAAGCUAUUCAAGAUGGUUUUCCUUGUUAGCCUAGGCUAGCCUUCAACUCCCUAUGUAGCUGAUGAUUACCUAGAAUUUCCGAUCGACCUGCCUUUACCACCCAAGUGUUGUUAUUACAGGCAUGGGCCAUGUCACCCAGUUUUGUUCAUGGCAAUUCUCCAGUUUUUCUACAGACAUCAAUUUGCUGUCUUACAAUUUAAUCCAGCUCUGGCAGAGUUGGAGCCUUGGUGCCAACCCUACAGGGGAAGGCCAGACUUGCCAGACUGCCCCUGUUUCAGGUCCCCAACACAACAAGGUGGACUUCCCUUUUGACUUACGACUGAGGGAAGCCAGGGCAAGAACUCAAGGCAGCAACCUGAAAAAAAAAAAAAAGAACUCGAAGCAGAAGCCAUGGAGGACCACAGCUUGCUGACUUCCUUCCCCUAGCUUUUCCUGCUUGCUUUCUUACACAGCUCAGGCCCGCCUGCCUAGGGAUGGCACUGUUUACAAUGGGCUGGGCCCUUCUGCAUCAAUUAGCAAUUAAGAAAAUGCCUCACAGACAUGGCCACAGGCCAAUCUGAUGGAGGCAGUUUUUCAGUCGAGGUUCCUCUUCCCAGGUGACUGUAGGGUUGUGCCAACUUGACAGCUGAAGCUAAUUAUGACACUUACUAUCACCGGUUUAUGAUAAAGGGCACAGCUCCAAAGCAAACACACAGAGGAGAUUAUGGGGCAGAGUCAGGGAGGGUGUUUUUCAGGUGCUCGCGGAGGUUUCUAGUGCACCACCACUUAGGUUAAGCCCUCCUGGAGUUGUCUGCUAUGCUUUGGAAGUGUCCCUCAAAGGCCCAUGUGUUGAAACUCGAUCACUAAGUGCUGGCACUAUUGGCAGGUGACUGACCCCAUCGCAAGUGAGGCCUAGUAGAGGAAGUGUGACCUAGGCCAACCUCUGCUUUCUCUCUGCUUCUUGGCUUUUGUGAGGCAAGUGUCUUUGUUCCACAAUGUGCUGCACACCAUGGCAUGCGACAGGACCAGGAGCAAUGAGCCCGACUAAGCAAAGACCGAAACCUCUGUGUCGAUAGCCCAAAGUAAACUCUCUCUUUUUCACUUAUCUCAGGUACUCAUUCAUGUGUGGAAAGCCAAGAUCAAUUACACACGCUAUGACAGAAGAGCUCAGGGCAACCAGCUCCCAGGACCCAAGAUUUUCCCACUAGCAUCAACCCUGGUAGGGGCAAGAGGGGUUUGUUACACAUAAGGAAAGAUGUUCCUCUCAACUCUGCCUCCUCGGGGAAUCUCAGGGGUCUUCGAAGCUGCGUGCCAAGAACCAGGAGCUAUUUUUUGCGGCUGUUACAGCUCUAACAGUUUUCUUGUCCCCGUCAGCAGGAGGCCCAGCAUUUUCAUUUCACAGUGAACCUUACAAAUUAGAAAUCAUAUGUAACCUACAGAAAUUGUGGCUUUGGUGGGCCACAGGAGAGGUGUCCAGCCUUCCUAAACCCAAACCACAACCCUUCGACUGUACUAUGAUGGAUACCAUCCUCACUCAGUAGAUGCAGGACAUUCACUUGCCAAAUUCCACCAGGAGCUGGGAACCCACUGAGAUUUUCCCAGGAGGCAACUGGUGCCAUUCUCUCUGUGGCUCUGGGAAGAUAGUGACUCUUUGGAGUCCACAGCUUCUCUAACUAGAGGGGAACCCUCAGAACCAGGCCCAGGGCAGAUGGCACAUAUCACCCUCAGGAGCAGUGGCCCCCACACAGGCCUCACCUGAAUGGAGCCUCACACAGCAUUUCUCCCAGUGCCGCUGCAUGGUGUUGCUGAUCCAGCCUCCUGUGAAGAUGCACAGACCUCAGAGUCGGGAGCAUACAAGCGCUGGAGCUUCAUUUCAUGAUGGGACUUCCUAUCCCAUGGCUUAGGAAGGGCUAUUUCUGUUGAACAAGUGAUUAAGUAUUUCCAAAUGAAACAUUUUUGAAAACGUAAGAGUGAUGUUUUUCAUCUUGGGCCUCCUUCGCUCAGUUUCCGUGGUUCAGCAGCGCCACCCAGUGUUAAAAACAUUUCCGUGAGAAAAUUCUCCCCUUUGCCUUGUGAAAGUGAACCUGGGAGUGUCUUUGAGCAUCACAUGAGAAGAAAAUGGGCAUCCACAGAAUGGAUAACAAUACGCCUGGGCAGUUCAGAAAAGUUCUGACCUAGAAUGCCACCAAGAUCACCCAGGAAACAAAAGGACUUUCCAGUCCCACCCAAUUAAUAACAGGGGGCAAGCCAGAACUAGCCCAGUACCAAGUAGUCAGUAGCAUCCCGACAGUGAGGGCCAUAAAGACAAGAUCAUGUGGAUGACAGGUCAGUCAUGGCUGGACCAGAUCUCAGAGAUGACAUCUUUCACUUUAUACAUGAACUAAGACUAAGCAAAACUUCACAAUAUGCACAAGUCCACAGCCAAUGACUUUGUAGCUCAGAUAAAAGUGUGUACCAUUCACCUCCUGGGUCAUCAUUCUCCUCCAAAAUGUCAAAACUCAAGAUGACCUAGUGUGACAGUCCAUAAAGAAGUAUAUGGGAAAGGUAAGAAUAAAAACAGCUGGGAGGCAGAGGCAGGAAGAUCUCAAGGAGCCAGCCUGGGCUACAGAAUCAGAUAUUGUCACCAAAAAAAAUGAACAAGAAAAAAAAGGAAGAAUAUAUUUCUCAUCUCUAUGUCUUUUUUGAAACUCUAAUGUUAAAAUUCUUAAUGUUUGGAAAUAACAGAGCUCUCUAUAUAAAAUUAAUUAGAGAUAAAAACCAAGUGCUAGAAAUAGCUUGUUAUGCUAAAAUGAAAGUAGAGGCCGUGGAUAUGAAGCAAAUCAAGAGAUGUGCUGGAGACUCUCACAGGCUGGGUCCUUGUUCUGUGAUAAUCUGUUCUUUGUAUAGGAAAGGCCGUCCUUGAUCAGGGCCAGAGCUUAGACAUUUGCUUUCCCAACAGAAGUUACAUUUACCCCACGAUGUUUAGAAUGUGUUAUGUUUCCUAAUGAGUGAAAAGCAAGUGUUGUGAUGGAACCUAGCAACAUGGACAUGGAUGGAAGCCCUAUUGUUCAUCACCUGCACAGUUGGUCAACUUCCUUAGCCAUCAUGGUUCCUGAUGGCUUUAAUCUUUAACAGUGUGUGUGUGUGUGUGUGUGUGUGUGUGUGUGUGUGUGUGUGUAUGAGGUAAAGGAGUCAAAUCUCUUUCCACCCUGUGAGUUCUAGGUAUAGAACUCAAGCUUGGUAGCAAGUGUCUUUACAAGCUGAGUCAAUUCACAGGCACCUCCUCCUGACAUAUCUUUAAAUAUAGCAAUUAAUGAAAAUAAGAUCAAGUUCACGGUACCCAGUAUUCAACUGAGAAUUGUUUUCUGACAUUAUACUGUAAGAUUCUCUAACAUGCAGAAAAAUUGGAAACAUUUUCCUAUAUGCAUAUACCAUCUCACUUCUGCAAUUCUUUUUCACUACACUGGAUUUAUAACAAUACAUGUAUCUACUAUGCCCAUUCACUGGUGAACCUGUUAUUUGUAAGUACACCUCACAAGCUCAAACAUGAGUAAUUUUCUCCAUGACAUUUUAUUUUGGAAGUAAAACUCACAUGUAAUGAAACACAUUCUCUCUCUCUCUCUCUCUCUCUCUCUCUCUCUCUCUCUCUCUCCUUCUCUCUCUCAUUCUUACUCUCUUGCUCUUGUUCCGUGUGUGUGUGCAUGCAUGCAUAUGAAUGAAUGUGUGCAUGUGCACAUGUGUGUGCAGGUGGAGGCCAGAGGUCAUUCCUCAGAAGCUGUCCGCCUUGGUUUUUGAGACAAAGUCUCUUACUGGGCCUCACCAAUUAAGCUAAGUCGACUGAUCAGCAAGUACAAAGGAUCCACCUGUCUCUGCUCCCCCAGCACUGUGACCGCUUGCUCACACCGCUGUGUCCAGUGUCUUCUUAUGUGGGUUCUGGUGAGAGAAUUCAGGUCCUCCUAUUUGUGCAGCAGUGCUUGAUGACUGAGCUGGGACCCCACCACACAAAUAACUCAAGUGUACCAUCUGGAGAGUUCUGAACAGUGCUCACACUCUACAACCCAAGCCUCUCUCGUGGCACCUGGAGCAUUGAUGCCACCCCCUAGAAUGUUUCCACAUGACCCCUUCCGGUAAACUCCUGAGCCAACAACCAAAGUGCAACCGCCACCCAGACUCCUCACCAUGCAUUAGUUUUGCUCCCAUCAAAAGCUGGCCCGAUGGGACCCAGAGCCUGUGUUCUGUUAAGUGGAGGCUCUCACUCAUUAACCAACAAGAUUACACCCAGACAGGUACAGUCUCCAUUAGUGGUUGCUGCUGGCUUCCUAAGAAGUGUCACAUCUAUAAGAUGACAAACGCAAUCCCACAUACAAAUCAAGACUCUUGUGGGAUAGUGCAUCAGUCUGUCUUUUUCUUUCCUUAAGAUUUAUAUAUAUUAAUUAUACGCAAUAACGGGUUUCAUUGUGCAUUGUAAUAUAGGCAUCUAAAGUAUUUUAAUAAUAUUCACGCUCAUUACCCUCCCUCAUUCCUCUCCACUCUUGGUGAUUCUCUUACCAGUCUGUCCCUUUUGUAUUUUCAUCUGUUCUUUUAGCCUAUCAUUUUUGCCUUGACAAUGAAGAGUUUGACCGCUAGAUGGCAGGAGGAACUCAUUGUAUCAUAUCCACUUCAGUGCGUAGCUCACUCCCUGUUCGCCUAUCUUGACGUUUGAUUAAAAACAUAGGUGCAAACAACAAUCAAGAGUGGCCAUAUUGAUGACUAGAAUUUAUGCACGGGAAAACUAAUAAGCAACUGAAGAAAUCCACAGAGGAGGCUAAUUACUAGAUGAGAGAUUCUUGAGUGUCUGUGCACCUGUUCGAGGGCUCUGGGCAGCUUCGGAUGGGGGUAUAGGGUGUGCUAGAUGAUGUGCCUCUGAGGACUGAUUGUGGAGUGCUGACUGCAGUCACAUAGUGAUAGCUAACAGCGUUCAGAGGAAGGACUUUCACAUCUGCUUUAAAUAAAAUACUGUGAAAAGCUAGCGUAUUGACUCCAUCUCCACUGUCAAAUUAUGAUUUAAAUUCACAAGAAAGUAGACAAAGUGUGGAAGGCUUGCAUCUGGACCAUCAUAAAUAGCAUUAGCCACAUAUAAAAAUGAUUGAAGAAUUCAGAACACCCAGAGAGAAGUUAAGGGAAGGUGCCAGGGGCCAACUCAUAAUUUGUGGCAUUGAUAAUAAGGUUUGCAAUAUAGGAAAGGUUACACUAAUGUUAGCCACCAAGGAAAGCACUAAUAUGGAGGUUCUCAACCUUCCUGAUGCUGGGGCUCCUUCACACAGUUCUUCAUGUGAUGGUGACCACCAAAAAUAGUUAGUUUCGUUGCUACUUCGUAACUGUAAUUUUGCUACUGUUAUGAAUCACAGUGUAUACAUCAGAUACGCAGAUAGUCUUAGGUGACCCCUGUAAAAGGGUCAUUCGUGAUCCACAGGUUGAGAACCACUACUAAACAGAGCAAGAACAGAUUUAGGAGGCAAAACAUCUUCCCAGGAGAAGAAACAUGUGUUCUGGUUUGUUUUCUGUUGUGUGAUAGACACUAUGACCAAAAGCAACUUGGCAAUAAGAACUCUCUUUCAUCUACAGGACAUCAUCAAUGGAGGAAACUCAAGGCCAGAGCUUAAAGCAGAAACCAUAAAGGACCUCUGCUUAUUGGGUUGCUCACAGGCUACCUUUAUUAUAUAGCUCAGACCCAACUGCCUGGGGAUAGGACCACCCACAGUGGACUGAACCCUUCUUCAUCAAUUAGCGAUCAGGAAAAUGCUCCCACAGAUGUUCCUGAAGCCCGAAUUGGUGGAGACAAUUCUUCAAUUGAAGUUCUUUCCCCCCAGAUGUGUCAAAUUGGCAACCAAGAUUAACCAUGCAAACGUGUGACAAACUGAUUUUCCUUUAUUGCAUAUCCUUUCACUGAAUCAUUCACAUUGAAGGGUCAGAGGACAGUGAGAUCAAGCCAGUGGCUUGUUAGUCAGACUUUGAAACUUGCACCAUCUGUAGGUGCUCCAGGAUUUCCAUGUGAAAAGUUUAUUUGGGGAAGUGCUUAGAUAAACACUAAAUAACAAUAGCUCAUGGUAGCCAAGUGCAUCCUGAAACACCAGCUGAUCUCUGUGAGGUUUUGAAUCACGUACUGCAAUUAGCUGCUCACAACUCCAGUAAAACUAAGAGAUUCUUAAAGUUACAGCAUUUCUUGGGGGCUCCCCUAUUGAGCCCUUCCUCACCUCACAGCCCACACAAAGCCUGUACCUACCCUAACACCCUCACAUAGCCACUCCUGGAUUCCCAGGUAGAUAUCCACAUUUAUUUUUCUUAACAAAUAAAUGUACUUAAGUAAAAAAGUGUGAAACAGUUUAAUUGAUUAUUUGAGAAUCUCACAGCAUGCAACCCAAUUGUGUUCACUUCCCAUGUGGCCUCCCCCCUCAAAAAAAAGUCCAUUUUGUGUUGUCCUAUAUUCACUGGAGCGUGGAGCAUGAUCAAAUUCCUAGUACCCAGCCUGCCAAAGGAGGGUGAGUCUUUAUCCAUCAGCUGAGGAGAGCUGUGUGGUUGGUGUCCAAGGGUUUUAGCUUUCCUGCACCCCUACACCCACACCACCACCUGCACCACAGUGCUGAGGGCUGGUGAAGGGUGGGGCCAGCUCUGCUGUGAGGGGCAGGACCAGCUCUCCUGCCGGCCACACACAUUAGCAUGGCUUCAGGUAGUAGCCCUAACCACAGGCAUGGCCUUUGGUGGUAACACUGGCCACAGACAUCAACACGGCUCUUGGCCAUAUCAGGACCACUGUCCCACUCACGGCCCUCAGCGGCUGAUGACCAUGAGCCUCAACACUGCCUUAGGUGGCGACACAUGCCACUUACAUCAGCAUGGCUCCCCAAGGCAGCAAAGCCAAGGCAUGGGGCAGCGACACAGACUGCAAACAUCCACAUGGAUCUCAGGCUUCGUGGCGGUCCAGGCAGCAACAUGGACCUCCGACACCAACAUGCCCUCUGGUGGUAUUGAGGACCAUGGUGGUCCUUUGAGGAGGUCCAAUCCAGGAAGUGAAACUUUCCCAUCUCCGGCCUCCAACAUUGCCCAGAGCCAGGGGAAUCCCGCAGCCAGGUGGCAGGUUCAGGGCUGAGUCUGUGUCUGCAUAAGUUCCCGGCUGUUGUACACCAUCCCACCAACCCUACCGGACAAUGACAGCAUGUCGACCUCAGCCUUCUCUCUCACCUGUCACCACCAUCAUGUCUCCAGGUCCACCUCUCCCUAGCAAGGGCACCACUCAGUUUUUCUGUCUUUGCUCUUCUCCAUCAAGUAUUUAUUGUAGUGGUGCCUGCCUACCCCAGGCUGCAGGGGCCCCAGGCAGCACUCAGGUGUGUCCAUCCACCUAGGCCACCUUUAAAACAUUUUUAAAGUGGUAACACAAUUAGCAUAAAUUAUAGAAAUGACAGAAACAUGAGGGGAAUACACUAAUGACAGAAAGUUUAAAAAAAAUUACCUCCCAAAAGGAGCUCUUCUUAAAAUCAUAUGGUCAAUAUUUUAAAGAAACUAAUAGGUAAUUACAAUGCAAACUCUGGUCAAAGUUUUAAGUCCAUGUAUUUAUUUCAUAUUCUCUCUCUCUCUCUCUCUCUCUCUCUCUCUCUCUCUCUCUCUCUCUCUCUCUCUCUCACACACACACACACACACACACACACACACACACACACACACACCCCUCUCUUUUUAGGAGGACAAAUGCAGACAUAAUGUUUCACCAAGUCCAUCAUAUUGAAGCAUUCCAUAUUGGUGUCCUCUUUUCUAAGCUCUAACUAAAAAUUAAGUGCAUUAUAACUAGGCCGGGGGCGGGGGGAUAUAGCUCAGUUGUCUAGCACACAGUAAGUCUUGGGUUUGAUCCCUGGUACCUCAUAAACCAACCAGACCUGGUGGCACAUGUUUGUCAUCUCAGCACCUGGAAGGUGGAGGCAGGGGGAUUGCAUCCUCCACUAUAUAACAAAGUGAAGGCCAAGUCAGGAGACAUGAGAUUUUGUCAAAUAAUUAAACAAACAAAUAAACAAAUGUUCUCCAUUAAAUGUUCUCUUUAACCCCAAGUGGUAACUGUGGGUCUUGGUGUAUUGGUCAUCUCAGGAUGAAAGUCCCUUGUCAAUGAUCUACAAAUCUAUCAAUCACUUGCAACAAGAGUUAAGAUCACCUUAACAUAUGAUAGUACAAUGUCAUUGACUUUGAUUCCUUAUGGGGACAAUAAGCCCAUAUUGAAAGGCCAAUGUGAGUGAAUAACUGUUAAGUACUUAAAUGAAUAUAUGGGUGUAUUAAGAACAGUCAUAGUGUGGCAGGUGACUGAAGGUUGAAACAUCAAGAUUAACAUAUGAUUUGUGUAUUUUAAUUUCAAUUUUAAAAUUAAAAUAUAAUUACACCUUUUCCCCCUUCUUCUCUUCCCUCCCAUCACACCUCUUAUCCUGCGUCCUCUCAAAUUCAUGGCUUCUUUUUCUUUAAUUAUUAUUGCCACAUAUAUAAACAGAUAAAUAUAUAAAUACAAUUUACUGAGUAUGUUUAGUGUUACUUGAAUGUAUAGGAUUUUAGCACUGACCAUUUGAUAUUGGAUAACCAAUUAGGGGGCUCAUUCCUGAGGAAGACUAAUUCUUCUCUCAUCAGUUGUUAAAUGCCUGAUGAUCUAUAGCUCUUUGUCUAGAGCUGGGAACCAGUGAGAUUUCCCCCUUCCAUGUUAUCAUAUCUAUGGUGUUAUCGUUGUUUGGAUCCUUUAUGCAGACAUAUUGCUGAGGUAUCAUGGGUGUCGUUUCCCUGUCUUUCUAGGAGACAUGAUCUUGCAGCAGACUUUAUAGUAAUUUUUUUUAAAGAAUCACAUGACAUAAGCCAGGUUGCAGAAGACUGGAAGUCUUUUCUCACCUGGGCUUCAUGUAAUGAAUAGAGCCAGCUCACAAAGAGCCUGCAAAACAAGAAAGGGAUGGACAGGCAUUAUGUAAGUGUUCAAUAAAGGACUGCAAGCCUCUUGAUCUGGUGUGUGAGGCUCUUUCCUUGGUUCACUAGCCCACUCCCAUUGGGUGCUUUUCCUUUCAUGAUACACCAUCUGUUUCUAUUUCUAAUCACAUCUCCUCAAUGCAGUCGUUUGUCCUUGGACACCAUAGCCUGGAAUUGGGUGCCCCUGAACUCAGAUCUGGAGCUCAGCACUAAGCAGGUUUUUCCUUCUCCUUUUCUUGUCUCUGUUUUGGAUACUGGCCUAAAAACUAAGCAUGCUUCCCAGACACCCUUUGUCAAUGUUUUCGUGACUCUGCACCUGACUUAAAAAGCAUAGUUUUGUUUGGUUUCAUCUCCUCUCCUCCUGGCAGCUGCCAGGAUUUGCAGCUUGCCUAUCCUGUUGUUUUUCUCUCAAAAUUGGCUGUGCUUGGGCUUCUUCGAAUCUUUUUUAAAAUUCUUUUAUUAAAGAGACUGAGAAUCCAGAAGGACAUCUCAGUUCCCCAUAACCAAAGGACCAUUGAGCCUUCAGAAGAUGUCUUUAUCUCAGAUAUAUCAUUCUCCAGAGCAGUGAAAAUAGUUAACUCAAGUGCAGAUAGGCCAGCAUGGCCAAUCCAGAUCAGAAAAGUUAGUAAAUGUGUGCAUGUGUGUGUUCUUUUGUGUGAAGGAAAAUAUCGAGGGCAGUAACUCUCAGUGUAACUUUGGUUGCAUGAACAAUGAGUCCAUGAGGUGCUCAUUGCUCAGGAAGGAUGACUGACUGGCCUGUCUUCUUAAGCAAAGAGGUCCAACAUGAAGGAAGUCAGCUGUGUGACCACCUCUCUCUCUUUUGUUAAAUUUUUUAAAAUUCAUUUUACAUACCAACCACAGAUCCGCCUCUCAUCCCUCCUCCUGCUCCCUCUCAGUCUUCCCUCCAGACCCCCCCAUCCCCUCCUCCAAAGGGGUAAGGCCUCCUAUGGGGAGUCAGCAAAGCCUAGUACAUUUAGUUGAGGCAGGACCAAGCUCCUCCCCACUGCAUCAAGGGUGAGCAAAGCAUCCCACCAUAGGUAGUAGACUCCAGAGAGCCAGUUCAUGCACCAGGGAUAGACCCUGAUCCCACUGCCAGGGGCCCUUGAAACAGACCAAGCUACACAACUGUCUCCUGUAUGCAGAGGGCUUAGUCCAGUCCCAUGCAGGUUCCACAGUUGUCAGUCUAAAGUUCGUGAGUUCCUAUGAGCUUGGUUUACUGUCUCUGUAUAUUUCUCCAUCAUGAUCUUGACACCACCACCACCCCCCCUGCUCAUAGAAUCCCUCUUCCCUCUCUUCCACUGGACUCCUGGAGCUGGGCCUGGUGUUUGGCUGUGGAUCUCUGCAUCUGUUUCCAUCAGUUUCUGAAUGAAGGCUCUAUGAUGACAGUUAGGGUAUUCACCAAUCUGCUUACCAGAGUAAGCCAGCUCAGGCACCCUCUCCACUAUUGCUAGUAGUCUAGUCUGGGGUCAUCCUUAUGGGUUCCUGGGAUUUUCCCUAGCACCAGGGUUCUCCCUUACCCCCAUAAUGUCUCCCUCUAUCAAGAUAUCUUUUUCAUUGCUCUUCCACUCUGUCCCUACCCAACUCAAUCAUCCCAUUCCCUCAUGGUCUCAACCCCUAUCCAUGCCCUCUAUUGCCCCCACCUCAUCCCCAGUUUACUCAUGGAGAUUUCAUCUGUUUCCCCUUCUCAAAGUGAUCCAUGUGUGUGACCACCUCUUUUCGAAAUGCCUUCAUAGACAAGAACGUGAACAAUGGAACUAUCAAUAGACAUACUAACAUGGAAGGAAGAAAGUCUCAUAGGAUCCCACACACAGACAAAGAGCUAUAGGCAACUAGUGAAUGCUGAGAGAGAAUUAGCCUCGCCCAGGGAUGAGUCGCCUCCUUGGUUAUCCAAUAGGGGGAGGUCAGCUCUGAAACCAUACAUACACAGCUCUGAAACCAAACAAGAAAAAUAGAUUUAGCAGGCUAUAUUUAUGCAUAUAACGCAACAAUAAUAAUCAAAUAAAAAAGCUAUCAAAUUGAGAGUGAUGAGGGCAUUGGAAGAAGAAAGAGAGGGGGAAGUAAUAUAGUUAUAUUUUUAUUCAUUUUAGUUGAAUAGAAUUAUAUCAAUUUCCUCUCCUCCUCCCUCCAGCCAUUUCAUGCCCCCACUGUCAGGUUGAUAGCCUCUUUUUCUUCGAUUGUUAUUGUUAAAGAUGUGUGUAUGUAUGUGCAUGCACAAAUACACACACACGCACACAACCUGCAGUCUGUUUUUGUUUGUGUGCAUGUUUGUGUUUUCAAGGCUGACUAUUCUGCAUUGGACAAUCAAUAAUGGGGCUCAUCCCUGAAAUGGGCUAAUUCUCCUUUUCACAGCAGUCAUUAGCUGCCUGUGGUUCUUUGACUAGGAGACGGACCCCAUGAAAUUUUCCCCCUUUCUCCAUUAACUUGUGCAUUGAUAUUACCUCUGUUCCAGUCUUGGUUUUGCAGCCAUUCCUUGGAUACACUACUUCAAGCAGAUUUCUUGCUGUUCACGCUCUUACAAUCCUUCUGCCCCUCUUCUUCUAUGUUCCCCGAGCCAUAGAUGUAGGAGCUGUGAUGGAGAUGUAUCCAUUGGGGCUGUGCUCCCCACAAUCCAUUGAUAUUUGCCUUAUAUUCAGUUGUGAUUUUUCUGUCAUGGUCUCAGCUUGCUGCAGAGAGAAGCUUCUUUGAUGAGGAAUAAUAGCUACACUUAGCUGUGGGUAUAAGGAUAAGAGUUAGAAUUUAGAUAAGGAAUAAUCCCAUCUCUCUCAUCUGCAGUUCCUAGCUCCAAAUCUUCAGAUGUGAGUAUAUGAGUAACCACAGAAACCAGGAAAGUAUAAAGGAACUCCGUGUGUGUGUGUGUGUGUGUGUGUGUGUGUGUGUGUGUGUGUGUGUGUAGGGGAGUCAGG